Long non-coding RNA from Triticum dicoccoides, 4487 nucleotides. RefSeq lists it as uncharacterized. The transcript is spliced from 6 exons. The record is from RefSeq and is a predicted model, not a curated record. NCBI's taxonomy places the organism in Eukaryota, Viridiplantae, Streptophyta, Magnoliopsida, Poales, Poaceae.
CCACACCAGAUACCUUCACUGUCGCCCUCGCACAUCAAGCCCGCACCCUCGCCGUCUCAGUCACCGCCGCCCUCACCCUCGCAGUCGCUGCCGAUCCCCUUCCCCCAUCAUCCUCCCUCAAGCGCUCGCCGCAACGACCGUGAGUGUGGCUGCUCCUCGCCCAUUCUCUGGCAACCGUCCCCUCCCCGCUGCCUCCGCCGACGCUGGAUAGAACGAGGUGGGUUCAACCAGUAGAGCCCUGGGCGAGAUCGCGUGCGAGUGGACGGAGUAGGCGCUGGUGGUCCUGGUGAACCAUGGGCGGAGUCAGAGCAGAGAGUUGGGGUGUAGGAGAUGAGGAGAAUGGGGUAGGCUUCAUGAUGGAAGGAGAUACGACGGCAAAGAAUGUGGAGGUCGGGUGUUACAUGGAGGCGCAUGUGCAAGUACAGGCCCGGCCCUGAGGGGGGGCGAACGGGGCGGCCGCCCCGGGCCCCCAGGUGCCAAGGGGCCCCCAAUUCUUCUCUGAUUUCCUGCCCAGAACGCCGAGGUGCACCUGCAACCUUUUCCCUGAUUUCCUGCCUUCCUUUCUUCGUGCUUCUAGUAUACGAUUGAUGGUCCUUCCAAUUAAUUAAUAGAGCAGUUAUUGGAUGCGGUUAAUUAGGCACGGUUAUGGAAACAAUCCGCUCUUAGUUUCCUUACUUAAUCUUUCCGUGAAAAACACCUUCCUUAAUUCAGAAGCCGAAAGUUGUGCGCCCAAUUUUUUGUGAGAAAAACAGGACUGGUGGGAAGCGACAAUGAUACGGACGGCGAGAAUAGAUCAAGAUCGCGAAGCUUGAUAUCCAUCUACUACUAUGCAUGCAUGGUGCCGCCUCGGCUCGGAGCAGUUAAGUUUCAUCCGUAACUUGUCCAUAAGUGUAGCAUUUUUGCAGUCGCUGCCUCGGACGAGACCACACUGACUCGGUGGGAGGCUAGAUCAAUACUGUUAGGAUACGAUGACAGUUACAGAAAAGAAGGUAUGUCUCUAAUCUCUAUUUUUAUAGGUAGUCUGUAUGUAUGGCCUAGGAAAUUUUAUCAUGAUAGUUGAUUAGAAGUAUGAAUGAUCAUCGACAUGCCCUCUGCGUUGUUGCAAUUGGAAACUAACAAUUGAUUUAUCAGUAUUGUUAACGGAUAGAUAUCAUUCGGGUUAUUAUUUUUUUAUAUGGAGGAUUAAACUAAUCCAUAUAGGGGCUAUACAUAAUACAAUCUGACAUCUAAAUGGAUGAUAACGUGAGUGAUCAUUGGCAUUUAAAUUAUUCAUUAUUCUAGACGAGGUGCCAGUUUUUUCUACAGCUGAUUAGGAUGAAAGAAAUUAUAGGAUAAACAUAACAAUAAAGCUACCAGAUAUAUUGCUAACGAAGAGACUUAAACAGGAACAUAUUGUAUAAAUAGUAAAAAAGAAAGAGAAACAUACUGUAUUUUCUUUGACUAGCGAUUCAAAAUAUUUUUGGAAAUACAUACUUUUGUUUAUAUUAAGGGCCCCUAGGUUUAGUUUUGCCCCGGCCCCCCAAAAUGUCAGGACCGGCCCUGUGCAAGUAGUCCAUUUAACACCAGUUUAGAAGAAAAAACUAUAUUCAUCCAGGUGAUGCCAUUCAUUUGCUAAGUGCUUCUGAAUUUUUGUUGUUCUAAUGCAUUUGCUUCUGAAUUAUGACAUGUGGAUUUGUUUUUUAAUCUGUUUAUGUGCAAGGUCAUGUAAGGAGAGCAAGGAUCCUUGGGAGAUGCUACUCUAAUUUUUUGCCAUUUAGAUGACACUAUUGAUCACAAUCUUGUUAUGGCUGAAACAAUUGCCUUGCAUCAUAAUUUUUUUGAGUUAAUUAACAGGGAUAUAAUGCCGAAUACUUGGAGCACACUUUGUUAUUAGUACAAUGCAGAUUGAUUGUGCAAUUUGUGAGUAAGAGCACAUUUAGAUGGAAGUGGUGGUAACAGAAUAGGAGUACUAAAUAUGUUAUGUGUGUUUUGUACAAAACUAUUUCCCUUCUGUUCCAUGUUUUGGUCAUAUGCAAUCAUCCACCACAUCAGUAUCGCUAGCUGCACGAUUUGAUCUAUUUUCAUGAUGCUCAAUUGGAAUCUCUCUGCAUUUUGUCGAAAAACGGCUGUGUAAGCUUUUGAUUAACCUGUAAUAGUUAGCUUGUCUUGUAUCUAUUUGAUCAGUUUUUCCAAAAAGUACGAACACACACAUUGUAUAAAUUUUACAUGGAUUUACAUGAUGGGCAAGUAGCCUUGGUCUCCUGCCUCUUCCAUUUUCAUAUGGUAUAUAUAGUUCUAAAUUCAGUUUAACAUGAAUCUUGAUAAUACUUUGUUGAAGUCGAAGUAGGAAUUAGGGCCAGGUAGAAUUAAAUUGCAACUAUUAGCGUAAUUAGCAUUGAUACCUCUGUCAGAGGUAUUCUAAGGAUUUGGCAUCAAGCACUAAUUAUGAAGAUUCAGUUUUCAUUGUGCCCACUUGACGUUGUCAGCGAUAUCCUUUAUGCCUUACAAUCCAUGUUGUUGUAUUCUUUCUUACCACAUCCAUUGUGUUGUUUUGUUAUGCUAAAUUAACCACAGGAUCGGGAGUAUGCUAUCAGCAAGAUCCUUUAUGCCUUAUAAUUCAGGUUGUUGUAUUCUUUCCUACCACGUCCAUUGUGUUCUUCUGUUAUGCUAAAUUAACCACUAGAUCAGGGGGACAGCCACCCAGUAACUCUUCCUUAUCUUCCCUCUCCUCUCUUAAACUUUCUAUGGUUCUUGGUUUGAUUCUCAAAGAGCUCGAACUCGUCUUGAGUUUUUGAUUAUGACCUUCCCUAUUUUGUUGCUACAUAUUACUGUACUAAUGUCUUGUGUAGCAAAUAUUUACUAAGAUGGGAUAAUAGGUAUACUAGUUUUCUAAUUCACGACUUCAUGUGAUUUCUUCCUGGUCUAUGUCAAGUCAAGUUAUUUUUGUUCUGAAUAAUUUACUAACACAGUGCAGGUUCAUGUGCAUAGCAAGUGUUAAAAAAGUCUCAAUUAUCUGCAUGGUAUAUCUAUUCAUUAUCUUUUCCAGAAUGAAGUGAGGUAUGGUCCGGAUCAAUGAACUCGAGAGGCGGCAGUGGAUCCCUAGGUUUUUCGGUUUCUGAAAGAGAAAUUUGUUUUGGCUUUUUUCUACACGCAUACCGUCAAUAAUGGAGAAUCAUGUGCAGGAAGUGAGAUUUGAGAAGCACUAGGGUGCGACAGUGGAGGAAGUAAAAUAUAUGUCGGAGACGGCCAUGAUGGCAUGAAUAUGAACCGUCCGGUUCUGAGGGGCAUCGAGAACAUCAUCAGAGCCCCUCAACAGCACCUGGUUCUGAGCAAGAGGGGGCUGGUCAGCAUGUUUGUGACAUGUUCUUCCAUGUGCAUAUUUUCACAUGACUCAUGCGCGGAGCUAGCGGGUCUGAGGAUUGAGCUCGUGCCCAAGCAGUAGAGCGAGGGAUACUUAUGAAACAUAUAUGUUGUGCCAAUGCAUCGUUAGGUGAACAUCUUUCUAUUUCACAGCAAGUGCAGAUGGUUAUACAUUUGAAACAUCAACUGGCCUGUUAAGAAUGUGAGAGGCCCUUGGGAGAAAAAACAUAUCAUUUGAGAUAGAUCUUGGAUUGAACAACCGAGUAUGGGUAUGCUUCCGUGGAAAGGCAGCUAGAGACAAAAAGGGAACCAGUGAAAAAGAAACUCGCACAUCUAAAGGUCUCUUGGAAUCUCACAUUUAUCAAUUUAUGGAAGGGGCAUCCAUUCAUUAUAAUAAUUUUUUAAGAGAACGGCGUGGGGCUGAUGCAGCCAAUGUGAACGACCACCGGAUAGCAAUAAACAAAAGGAAGAACAACACAUGUACAACAAACAACAAGGUUAGCCAAGAAACAAUUAGGCUCUUGGGGUCUAUCGACCAAAAGCAUGAUCUUGGGGUGCCCGGCUUCUGUCCAAAGUGAGAUCUCAUCCAACAUCAGAUUGAAGACACUAAAAAUGGUGGAACUUGAGUUGCAGAAAAUUCUGGCAUUUUACUCCUUCCGCGUGAACCAUCGUAUGGCCCGCACUAGGCAGUUCCAGCCCUUCUUCAGGGCAGCAGGUUUGGCAACGGAACUUUCCACCCAGUCUGAGAGGCAGGUGGUGUCACUGGAGGGGGCUAAAGUAGCCGGGAGAUUGCAGGUAGCAGCAUGAGCCGCCAAAGAGCCUGAACAAAUGGGCAUUGAGUUAGCAAGUGAAUGGUGUCUUCAUCCGCCAAGUGACACAUGUGGCAAACUGGAUCAUGGGAGCAGCCCCUUUUCCGCACAUUGUCCCUGGUAUAUGCUUGCUUGGCCUUCUACUGACCUUUUAGUUAUGUUAUGUGCUAGAAAUAGUUGUAGUAGAUUCAAGAUUUGAAAGCUCAUUUUUAUUAGCUUGUUGUGUUUGUCAACUAUUUCCAUAUUUAGAAAUAUCAUAAUUGGUUUGCUUGUCAAACAUGCUUAUUGAGAGAUGUAAUGCUUUCAAACAUUAACCUGCUACAAUUACGACAUCAAGCU